CCUGAUUCGACCGAAAGUUAUAAUUAAUUAUGUAUGGGGCAAAGGUUUGAUUAACCCUUUUUAUUAGGUCACGGUCCGAUUUUUAAUCAUGUCUGGUCGAGUUCGAUCUGAAGCAGCUUAGCAAGAAUUAAAUUUAAAUGACAAUGGGCUCAAGGACAAGUCAACCAUCAUAACCCACCUCAAACCUAAAGUCAAUUCCCAACCAAUUCGUUAUCUGCCUUCAUAUAAAAUUUAUAAUAAUAAUAAUAACUAAAUAUUCACAAUUCACUGUUCAUAUGAACAGUGUCCAGUUCAAACACUGUUCA
Molecule: long non-coding RNA, 305 nt
Filed under: Phoenix dactylifera (date palm)
Lineage: Eukaryota; Viridiplantae; Streptophyta; Magnoliopsida; Arecales; Arecaceae
Description: long non-coding RNA (PDAC_LNC021132)
Source: RNAcentral